GGAAGUAAAAGUCGUAACAAGGUUUCCGUAGGUGAACCUGCGGAAGGAUCAUUAAUAAAUUUUUUUUUGAAAUAAAAAAAAAAAUAAUAAUCAUCCUACCCUUUGUGAAUUUGUUUUGUUGAAUAAUUUUUUAAAAUUAUUUAUUGUCUAUCCAAGUUGGAAAGUUGUAAAAGCUGAAGACUUGGAGCGGCAUAAAUAAAUUUUAAAGACUUUUUUUAAAAUUAAACUUUUUGUAUUCAUUUGUCUAAAAUAAUUUUUAUAAUAUAUAAAAACAACUUUUGACAAUGGAUCUCUUGGUUCUCGCAACGAUGAAGAACGCAGCAAAAUGCGAUAAGUAAUGUGAAUUGCAGAAUACGUGAAUCAUCGAAUCUUCGAACGCAUAUUGCACUUUUUAGUUUACUAAAAAGUAUGUCUGUUUGAGUAUCAGUAAAAUAUUCUCAUAAAAUUUUUAAUUUUAUGGUUAUGAGUGUUUUACAACGAUAAACAAGUUGUUUCACUUUAAAUUGAAUUUUUGAAUGAAAUUCUUUAAUUCAAAUUAAAUUUGGAUAAAAUUUUCCCGUAAAAAGGAAUAACUAUACAAGUUUAAUGAGAAUUUGGAUUUCUUUUAUAAAAGGAAAUCUAUUAAAUAACUUGAUCUCAAAUCAGAUAAGAGUACCCGCUGAACUUAAGCAUAUCAAUAAGCGGAGGAAAAGAAAUUAACAAGGAUUCCCCUAGUAACGGCGAGUGAAGCGGAAGAGCUCAAAUUGAAAUCUUAAAGGGUUUCCUUUACGAAUUGUAGUUUAAAGAAGUGUUUUCUGUUGAGGUUUUGGUAAAAGUUCUUUGGAAUAGGACAUCAUAGAGGGUGAGAAUCCCGUAUUUGACCUUUACUUUCAACUUUGUGAUACACUUCAAAGAGUCGGAUUGUUUGGGAAUGCAGUCCAAAAUGGGUGGUAAAUUUCAUCUAAAGCUAAAUAUUGGCGAGAGACCGAUAGGAACAAGUACCGUGAGGGAAAGAUGAAAAGAACUUGAAAAGAGAGUUAAACAGUACGUGAAAUUGUCAAAAGGGAAGCGUUUGACACCAGUGUUGUUUUUUCUGAAAAUCAAUUAAAGAACUGUUUAUGCUAAGUUGUUUAGACUUUAUCAGCUAACUGUUUAGUUUUGAGCUUUUCUUUAAUGCACUUUUCAGUUAACAAGUCAACAUCAAUUUCUUUUGCUGUAAAAAAGCUUGAGGAAGGUGGCUUGAGAUUCGUCUUAAGUGUUUAUAGCCUCUUGCCUAUGCAGUCGGAGAGAUUGAGGUCUGCAGCGUAGAUCCUUCGGGGCUAAAUGCAUUUGUGCUAAGUUAUUAGCAUUUUAUAGACAACUUGUUGACUAUGAUUUGUCUUGUAGCUUACUCGCUUAUGUUAUUUUACCUACGCUUAGGAUGU
This 1403-nucleotide unclassified non-coding RNA is filed under the name uncultured Neocallimastigales. RNAcentral describes it as "partial contains small subunit ribosomal RNA, internal transcribed spacer 1, 5.8S ribosomal RNA, internal transcribed spacer 2, and large subunit ribosomal RNA". The stretch from base 632 to 1403 matches the Rfam family "Eukaryotic large subunit ribosomal RNA", at positions 1 to 626 of the family's 3401-position model. The record is from RNAcentral. Lineage: Eukaryota; Fungi; Neocallimastigomycota; Neocallimastigomycetes; Neocallimastigales.